This is a long non-coding RNA of Humulus lupulus (European hop), 292 nucleotides long. RefSeq lists it as uncharacterized. NCBI's taxonomy places the organism in Eukaryota, Viridiplantae, Streptophyta, Magnoliopsida, Rosales, Cannabaceae. The record is from RefSeq and is a predicted model, not a curated record. The transcript is spliced from 4 exons.
GGGGUUGGAGCGAUUGGGACAGACUCUGGUAGUGAAGGGGUGGGUUCGGACUCUUCGUGUUCAGAGUUCUGUUACUUUCAUUGAGGUUAAUGAUGGUUCGUGUCUCUCAAACAUGCAAUGUGUUAUGGGUUCUGAUGCUGAUGGUUAUGACCAGGUAGAAUCUGGGUCAGUUACAACUGGUGCCUCAGUAUGGGUGCAAAGGAUUGUGGUGAAAAGCUAGGGAUCUAAACAAAAGGUGGAGUUGAAGGUCAAUAAGAUUGUUGUGGUUGGUAAAAGUGAUCCCUCUUAUCCC